RNAcentral lists this ribosomal RNA (122 nucleotides) under Diaphorina citri (Asian citrus psyllid). The record is from RNAcentral. Lineage: Eukaryota; Metazoa; Arthropoda; Insecta; Hemiptera; Psyllidae.
GCCAGCGGCGAUAGCACGUUGAAUACACCAGUUCCCCAUGGAUCGCCAAAGUUAAGCUACGUUGCUCAUGGUAGGUAUCCGGAUGAGUGACCAUUACCCAAAUUCCUGGUCCUACUCAGGCU